GCUGGGUAUAGACCCGAAACCAGGUGAUCUAUCCAUGAGCAGGUUGAAGGUUGGGUAACACUAACUGGAGGACCGAACCCACUGUCGUUGAAAAGCCAGGGGAUGACUUGUGGAUAGGGGUGAAAGGCUAAUCAAACUUGGUGAUAGCUGGUUCUCCCCGAAAGCUAUUUAGGUAGCGCCUCGGACGAAUACCAUUGGGGGUAGAGCACUGUUUCGGCUAGGGGGUCAUCCCGACUUACCAAACCGAUGCAAACUCCGAAUACCAAUGAGUACUAUCCGGGAGACAGACUGCGGGUGCUAACGUCCGUAGUCAAGAGGAAAACAAUCCAGACCGCCAGCUAAGGCCCCAAAAUUAUAGUUAAGUGGGAAACGAUGUGGGAAGGCAUAGACAGCUAGGAGGUUGGCUUAGAAGCAGCCACCCUUUAAAGAAAGCGUAAUAGCUCACUAGUCGAGUCGGCCUGCGCGGAAGAUGUAACGGGGCUAAAACUAUAUGCCGAAGCUGCGGAUGCAUAAUUUAUUAUGCGUGGUAGGGGAGCGUUCUGUAAGCCGAUGAAGGUGGAUUGAGAAGUCUGCUGGAGGUAUCAGAAGUGCGAAUGCUGACGUGAGUAACGACAAUGCGAGUGAAAAACUCGCACGCUGAAAGACCAAGGGUUCCAGUCCAACGUUAAUCGGGGCUGGGUGAGUCGACCCCUAAGGCGAGGCCGAGAGGCGUAGUCGAUGGGAAAUUGGUUAAUAUUCCAAUACUUCUGUGUAAUGCGAUGAGAGGACGGAGAAGGUUAAGUCAGCCUGGCGUUGGUUGUCCAGGUGGAAGGUUGUAGGCAUGUAUCUUAGGCAAAUCCGGGGUACUCUAUGCUGAGAACUGAUAGCAAGCUGUACUUGUACAGUGAAGUGGCUGAUACCAUGCUUCCAGGAAAAGUCUCUAAGCUUCAGUUACACAGGAAUCGUACCCGAAACCGACACAGGUGGUCAGGUCGAGUAGACCAAAGCGCUUGAGAGAACUCUGCUGAAGGAACUAGGCAAAAUGGUACCGUAACUUCGGGAGAAGGUACGCUGUUGUCUGUGAUAGGACUUGCUCCUUGAGCGGCCGACAGCCUCAGAAACCAGGCCCCUGCAACUGUUUAUUAAAAACAUAGCACUCUGCAAACACGAAAGUGGACGUAUAGGGUGUGAUGCCUGCCCGGUGCUGGAAGGUUAAUUGAUGGGGUUAGCGUAAGCGAAGCUCUUGAUCGAAGCCCCAGUAAACGGCGGCCGUAACUAUAACGGUCCUAAGGUAGCGAAAUUCCUUGUCGGGUAAGUUCCGACCUGCACGAAUGGCAUAAUGAUGGGGGCGCUGUCUCCAGCAGAGACUCAGUGAAAUCGAAUUCGCCGUGAAGAUGCGGUGUACCCGCGGCUAGACGGAAAGACCCCGUGAACCUUUACUGCAGCUUGACAUUGAACUUUGAUCUUACUUGUGUAGGAUAGGUGGGAGGCUUUGAAGUCGCGACGCUAGUUGCGAUGGAGCCGUCCUUGAAAUACCACCCUGGUAAUAUUGAGGUUCUAACUCUGUCCCGUUAUCCGGGACGAGGACCAUGUCUGGUGGGUAGUUUGACUGGGGCGGUCUCCUCCUAAAGAGUAACGGAGGAGUACGAAGGUGCGCUCAGCGUGGUCGGAAAUCACGCGUAGAGUAUAAAGGCAAAAGCGCGCUUAACUGCGAGACCCACAAGUCGAGCAGGUACGAAAGUAGGUCUUAGUGAUCCGGUGGUUCUGUAUGGAAGGGCCAUCGCUCAACGGAUAAAAGGUACUCUGGGGAUAACAGGCUGAUACCGCCCAAGAGUUCAUAUCGACGGCGGUGUUUGGCACCUCGAUGUCGGCUCAUCUCAUCCUGGGGCUGAAGCAGGUCCCAAGGGUAUGGCUGUUCGCCAUUUAAAGAGGUACGCGAGCUGGGUUUAGAACGUCGUGAGACAGUUCGGUCCCUAUCUACCGUGGGCGUUGGAAAUUUGAGAGGAUCUGCUCCUAGUACGAGAGGACCAGAGUGGACGAACCUCUGGUGUACCGGUUGUCACGCCAGUGGCAUCGCCGGGUAGCUAUGUUCGGAAGGGAUAACCGCUGAAAGCAUCUAAGCGGGAAGCCUACCUCAAGAUAAGAUUUCCCCGAGACUUUAUGUCUCCUAAAGAGCCGUUGAAGACUACGACGUUGAUAGGUUGGAUGUGGAAGCAUAGUGAUAUGUGAAGCUGACCAAUACUAAUUGCUCGUGAGGCUUGA
Molecule: ribosomal RNA, 2241 nt
Filed under: Salmonella enterica subsp. enterica
Lineage: Bacteria; Pseudomonadati; Pseudomonadota; Gammaproteobacteria; Enterobacterales; Enterobacteriaceae
Description: partial 23S ribosomal RNA
Rfam family: Bacterial large subunit ribosomal RNA
Source: RNAcentral